Molecule: ribosomal RNA, 410 nt
Filed under: Bacteroidota bacterium
Lineage: Bacteria; Pseudomonadati; Bacteroidota
Description: Bacteroidetes bacterium partial 16S ribosomal RNA
Rfam family: Bacterial small subunit ribosomal RNA
Source: RNAcentral
UGGGGAAUAUUGCGCAAUGGGGGAAACCCUGACGCAGCGACGCCGCGUGCGGGAUGAAGGCCUUCGGGUUGUAAACCGCUUUUGAUUGGGAGCAAGCUUUCGGGUGAGUGUACCUUUCGAAUAAGCGCCGGCUAACUACGUGCCAGCAGCCGCGGUAAUACGUAGGGCGCAAGCGUUAUCCGGAAUUAUUGGGCGUAAAGGGUACGUAGGCGGGUAAGCAAGUUAGAAGUGAAAUCCUAUAGCUCAACUAUAGUAAGCUUUUAAAACUGCUCAUCUUGAGGUAUGGAAGGGAAAGUGGAAUUCCUAGUGUAGCGGUGAAAUGCGCAGAUAUUAGGAGGAAUACCGGUGGCGAAGGCGACUUUCUGGCCAUAACCUGACGCUGAGGUACGAAAGCGUGGGUAGCAAACAGG